GGGAGGGUGAGGGGUUUCACCGUUUGCCUGUACUCCAACGGGAGUUCGGCUUCGCGAACCUCCAAGGGCUUCGCUAACCACUCACCCUCCCAUC
This 94-nucleotide small RNA is filed under the name Caulobacter vibrioides NA1000. Its description in RNAcentral is "small non-coding RNA". Lineage: Bacteria; Pseudomonadati; Pseudomonadota; Alphaproteobacteria; Caulobacterales; Caulobacteraceae. The record is from RNAcentral.